GUCGGGCGGGCCUGGCUCCCAGCCAGGCGCCCAAACAAUAAACAAUUCCCCCUGGUGCGGGCAGGGGGUUCUCGCUCGCCACAGAAAGGCUCUAGGUGUACGCUGGCAAAUAUCUUUAUCAGUUGGAAGGAGGACGGGAAGGGGGCCUGGGCUGGGGGACGAGAGGGCGCUGCGGCGGGCGCUAGGUCUCUUACCUUCCACCCACAGCUCUUCCACGUUGGUCUCGAGAUUAGCUGCCUUUAAUCCCACAGCGAAGGCCCCAAAUAUGAGGAGGCCCACAACCAAGAACUUGCCGCAGUUUUUUUGAAUGUAACAACCCAGUUUAAACAAGAGUCUCUGAAACUUCGCUCUCAGCCACAGCGGCGCUUUCCGGCCAGUAGCUUUCCCCUGAGGAUGAAGCAGAAGGGAGGAGUGAGCGCCGGGGAGUCGCGGCCCGCGCGCCCACGCCCGCUUGCGCGCACCCGCCCGCGGAUCCCGCGACAUCCGUGGGUGGGGGGUGCCCUCGGGACUGGAACCCAGGCUGGCCCCGGGUAAGGCGAGCAGCGUGGGGGGGCGCCUGGACAUAAAUCAAAGUGGGGCUGCAGCGUGGGAGCUGCACCUUGGCGACAGCAGGGUCAACCCCCCGCUCGACCCGCGCAACAUCCCCGAAGGUGUCUUGGGGGCGUUGGGGAGAAGGGCUGCAAGAACAGGGGGAAGGGAAGCCGAGGCAGAGAGGAGAGGAAUCACUCAUCACAGGCAAUAUUCGCCCCGGAGCCGGGAAGGGAGGGGCUGCUCAAUGUCUGCGAUUGAGCCCACCAUUUAAGAACCAGCAAACCAAGGGUCCCUUCCCCGCAAGUCAAGCCCCAUCUUUUACCCCUCUCGGGGUACCCCGGCAGGGAUGGGGGCUGGGGGACGAGCGCGCUCUGGGAACAAUGUAUUGCGGGCUCCCCGAGCCUGACCCCCGCCCCGCGUGGUAGUAAGUGGGGAUCCACGUGGUGAGCGCGGCCGCCGGAGCUCACUCGCGACGCAUUUCCAUAGCGUUGGGAGACGCUGUGUGAGCUGAAUUAGGAAGUGGGGCAGCCAUCUGCAACUUACGACAACAUUUGUGAUCGGAAGAGGGCAGCCACAUGGAUCUUUCCCUCCUCUCCCUUCCCAUCUGGUUAAACGUAAAAAGUAGCCAAGUGCACAGGGUAAGGGCCCAGGCCGGCGCAGGCGGGGGUCCUGGCUGGGCGCUGGCUGCUCCCGGCGG
This 1228-nucleotide long non-coding RNA is filed under the name Lynx pardinus (Iberian lynx). The record is from RNAcentral. Lineage: Eukaryota; Metazoa; Chordata; Mammalia; Carnivora; Felidae.